UCAAAAUAAAAAUUUUAGAAUGGUACCAAAUUUGACGGAACUAGGGAUUUACAGGUGAAUUGGUUCAAGAUUGUUUUGAGAGCCUUCUUCAUUUACAUCUACUUGAGAAAUUAAAGUUUGAAAUUGGAAGGGUUGAGCGGUUCUAUCUUCCUGUUUCUUUUUCACCAAAUCUUAAACGUUUGACACUUUGUUAUACUUAUAUUUCAUGGAAGGAGAUAAACAUAAUUGGAAAAUUGCCAAACUUGGAGAUUCUCAAACUAAAAGAUUUUGCCUUUUGUGGCUCAAAGUGGGAGCCAAUGGAGGUGGGAUUUAAAAAAUUAAAGGUGUUCCAUGUUGCACGUUCAGAUCUCACACAUUGGAAUGCAAGUGCUGAUCAUUUUCCUAUUCUGGAGCAUUUAGUUUUGAGAUAUUGCUGGGAAUUAAAAACGAAUUCCAAUUGCUUUUGCGAGCAUUGAAACAUUGAAAUCAAUUGUGUUAGAGAGUUGUUAUUCAUCUCUCGUGAAUUCUGCACAUGAGAUUCAAAGGAGGGCAGAUCAACCUGCUGCAUUUCGUGUUUAUGAUCUUGGAACUAAGGUUGAAUUGCCUAAUAGAGAGAUUUCUGAAGAAGAAAGCUUUGAAUGCUCUAGGGAAGAAAAUGGCUAAUGAUUUUUUUAAUUUUCUGUUUUGAAGUGUAUCAAAGUGUUGUAUAUUUGCUUCAAUUUCCAUUUGAUUUGAUCAGUUCAGCCUUAGCUUGUGUGUUGAAUGGGCAUGGCAUCUCACGGAUUGUUAUGCCGUGGAACUGUACGUGUCCACCUUGCAAGAUGGACACGGU
Molecule: long non-coding RNA, 811 nt
Organism: Ipomoea nil (Japanese morning glory)
Lineage: Eukaryota; Viridiplantae; Streptophyta; Magnoliopsida; Solanales; Convolvulaceae
Exons: 3
Source: RefSeq, a predicted model, not a curated record